This 466-nucleotide ribosomal RNA is filed under the name uncultured bacterium. Its description in RNAcentral is "partial 16S ribosomal RNA". It matches the Rfam family "Bacterial small subunit ribosomal RNA", at positions 28 to 507 of the family's 1533-position model. The record is from RNAcentral.
GAUGAACGCUGGCGGCGUGCUUAACACAUGCAAGUCGAACGAUGAAGCUCAGCUUGCUGGGUGGAUUAGUGGCGAACGGGUGAGUAACACGUGAGUAACCUGCCCUUAACUCUGGGAUACGCCUGGGAAACUAGGUCUAAUACCGGAUAGGAGCGCCUACCGCAUGGUGGGUGUUGGAAAGAUUUAUCGGUUUUGGAUGGACUCGCGGCCUAUCAGCUUGUUGGUGAGGUAAUGGCUCACCAAGGCGACGACGGGUAGCCGGCCUGAGAGGGUGACCGGCCACACUGGGACUGAGACACGGCCCAGACUCCUACGGGAGGCAGCAGUGGGGAAUAUUGCACAAUGGGCGAAAGCCUGAUGCAGCGACGCCGCGUGAGGGAUGACGGCCUUCGGGUUGUAAACCUCUUUCAGUAGGGAAGAAGCGAAAGUGACGGUACCUGCAGAAGAAGCACCGGCUAACUACGUG